ACAAAAAUUGACUAUUUUAUUAUUUUAGUUUCUGGCGGUUAUUAUUUUAGUUUUCUGGCGGUUAUAAACGACAUAAAUUGACUAUUUUAUUAUUUAAAAAUGUUAUAUUGAUUAAAAAUAAAUAAAUAAACACAUGGUUUAAAUAUAUUUUUUUCACUCGUGGCCCUGUCGGAUAUAACCGACACGAACAAAGAAAAAUUUUGGGCGGCCGCCAGAAUAAUCUCUUAAUGUUUUUUUUUCACUCAUGAUCCCGUUACCUAAUCUCUGAAUGUUUUUUUUUUGUUUUUUUUUUGCGAUUUUUUACACAUGCUAUCUCAAAGUAUAUACAAACACAUUUGACUAUUGGAUCGUUGAAACUAGUUUCGUAGAAUGCAUAUCUUAUCAAAUUGAUAGAUUUAACAAACACUUAGAGUUAAUGUUAUACUUCCAUUAAGUAUAAUUGAAGAUUGAAUUCAUUCAUUGCAUUCUUAUAGGGUCGAAGAGUGUAGCUGUAAAAAAUCAUCAAAAUCGGAGCUAAAAUAACCGUUAAAUUGUGAUUUUUCGUUUAUAACCAUUGAAAACUUUUGUUCUGUUACCUAAUCUCUGAAUGUUUAUUUUUUGCGAUUUUUUAUGUAUGCGAUCUCAGAAUGUAUACAAACAAGUUUGACGGUUGGAUCGUUGAAAAACGUUUCGUAGAAUGCAUAUCGCAUCAAAAUGGUAGAUUAAACAAAAACUUAGAGUUAAUGUUAUACUUCCCCAUCAAGUAUAAAAUAAAAUUUUGUGGUAUUCACUAGUGUAAAUAUUUUAAAUUGAAGAUCGAAUUCAUUCAAUGCAUUCUUAUAGGAGUGUAGCUAUAAAAAAUCAUCAAAAUGGAGUUAAAAUAACCGUUAAAUUGUGAUUUUUUGUUUAUAACCGUCGAAAACUUUUGUUCUGUUACCUAAUCUUUGAAUGUUUGUUUUUUGUGAUUUUUUACGUAUGCAAUCUCAGAGUGUGUACAAACAAGUUUGACGGUUCGAUCAUCGAAAAAAGUUUUGUAGAAUGUGUAUCGCAUCAAAACGGUAGAGUAAAUAAACACUUAAGAGUUAAUGUUAUACUUCCACUUAGUAUAAAAUAAGAUUUUAUAGUAUCCACUAGUGUAAAUAUUUUAAAUUGAAGAUCAAAUUUAUUCAUUACAUUCUUAUAAGGCCGAGGAGUGUAGCUGUAAAAAAUCAUUAAAAUCGGAGCUAAAGUAACCGUUAAAUUGUGAUUUUUCAUUUAUAACAGUCGAAAACUUUUGUUCCAUUACGUAAUCUCUAAAUGUUUUUUUUUUUUACAAUUUUUUACUUUGCAAUCUCAGAGUGUGUACAAAUAAGUUUGACGGUUAGAUAGUUGAAAAAGUUUCGUAGAAUGCAUAUCAGGUCAAAACGGUAGAUAAACAAACACUUAAGAGUUAAUGUUAUACUUCCCAUCAAGUAUAAAAUAAGAUUUUGUGGUACCCACUGGUGUAAAUAUUUUAAAUUGAAGAUCGAAUUCAUUCAAUGCAUUCUUAUAGGGUCGAUGAGUGUAGCUGUAAAAAAUUAUCAAAAUCGGAGCUAAAAUAACCGUUGAAUUGUGAUUUUUCGUUUCUAACCGUCGAAAACUUUUGUUGUGUUACCUAAUCUUUGAAUGUUUGUUUUUUGUGAUUUUUUACGUAUGCGAUCUCGGAGUGUGUACAAACAAGUUUGACGGUUAGAUCAUUGAAAAAAGUUUUAUAGAAUGUGUAUCGCAUCAAAACGGUAGAUUAAAUAAACACUUAAGAGUUAAUGUUGUACUUCCAUUAAGUAUAAAAUAAGAUUUUGUGGUAUCCACCAGUGUAAAUAUUUUAAAUUGAAAAUCAAAUUGAUUCAUUACAUUCUUAUAGGGUCGAGGAGUGUAGCUGUAAAAAAUCAUUAAAAUUGAAGCUAAAAUAACCGUUAAAUUAUUAUUUUUCGUUUAUAACCAUCGAAAACUUUUAUUCCGUUACGUAAUCUCUGAAUGUUUAUUUUUUACGAUUUUUUUAUAUGUAUGCAAUCUCGGAGUGUGUACAAAUAAGUUUGACGUUUGGAUCGUUGAAAAAAGUUUCGUAGAAUGCAUAUCGCGUCAAAAUGGUAGAUUAAACAAACACUUAGAGUUACUAUUAUACUUCCAUUAAGUAUAAAAUAAGAUUUUGUGGUAUCCACUAGUAUUAAUAUUUUAAAUUGAAGAUCAAAUUCGUUCAUUGCAUUCUUAUAGGGUCGAUAAGUGUAGCUGUAAAAAAAAAAUCAUCAAAACCAGAGCUAAAAUAACCAUUAAAUUGUGAUUUUUCGUUUAUAACCGUCGAAAACUUUUGCUCCGUUACCUAAUCUUUGAAUGAUUUUGUUUUUUUUUUUUUUUUUGCGAUUUUUUACGUAUGCGAUCUUGUAGUGUCUACAAACAAGUUUGAUGGUUAGAUCAUAGAAACUAGUUUCUUAGAAUGCAUAUCUCCGUUAAAUUUGCCUAAAUUUUGAAGUGGGAAAAGUAAUUUGUGCUAAAUUUAUAUUUAUGUUUUUCAAGUAUUGAUUAGACAAUAUUUAGUUUGUGUGAUGACAUUUUCAUUGUACAAUUAUCUUUUUGUUUUUUUAUCGCAUAUUUUACAUGGGUUAUUAUCUAUUAAACCAAACAAUUAUUUAUUUAAUUUUUAAAAAUGUAUUCUAUUUAAAUAC
RNAcentral lists this long non-coding RNA (2657 nucleotides) under Malus domestica (apple). Its description in RNAcentral is "long non-coding RNA (MDOM_LNC003263)". The record is from RNAcentral. Lineage: Eukaryota; Viridiplantae; Streptophyta; Magnoliopsida; Rosales; Rosaceae.